GCUUUCGUGGUGUAAUGGUCAGCACACUCGACGCGAAAGCGAGAAGUUCGUGGUUCGAUUCCCGGCGAAGGCG
Molecule: transfer RNA, 73 nt
Filed under: Stegodyphus mimosarum
Lineage: Eukaryota; Metazoa; Arthropoda; Arachnida; Araneae; Eresidae
Rfam family: tRNA
About the family: Transfer RNA (tRNA) molecules are approximately 80 nucleotides in length. Their secondary structure includes four short double-helical elements and three loops (D, anti-codon, and T loops).
Source: Rfam by way of RNAcentral